This 486-nucleotide ribosomal RNA is filed under the name uncultured Streptococcus sp. Its description in RNAcentral is "bacterial SSU rRNA". It matches the Rfam family "Bacterial small subunit ribosomal RNA", at positions 39 to 507 of the family's 1533-position model. Lineage: Bacteria; Bacillati; Bacillota; Bacilli; Lactobacillales; Streptococcaceae. The record is from RNAcentral.
GCGGCGUGCCUAAUACAUGCAAGUAGAACGCUGAAGGAAGGAGCUUGCUCUUUCCGGAUGAGUUGCGAACGGGUGAGUAACGCGUAGGUAACCUGCCUGGUGGCGGGGGAUAACUAUUGGAAACGAUAGCUAAUACCGCAUAACAGUAGAUAUCGCAUGAUAGCUGCUUGAAAGGUGCAAAUGCACCACUACCAGAUGGACCUGCGUUGUAUUAGCUAGUUGGUGAGGUAACGGCUCACCAAGGCAACGAUACAUAGCCGACCUGAGAGGGUGAUCGGCCACACUGGGACUGAGACACGGCCCAGACUCCUACGGGAGGCAGCAGUAGGGAAUCUUCGGCAAUGGACGGAAGUCUGACCGAGCAACGCCGCGUGAGUGAAGAAGGUUUUCGGAUCGUAAAGCUCUGUUGUAAGAGAAGAACGAGUGUGAGAGUGGAAAGUUCACACUGUGACGGCAUCUUACCAGAAAGGGACGGCUAACUACGUG